UGCCCAUCUAAAUGAUAGAGACACAAAAUACACCAAAAAUUUAGACCAGCAAUCAAUUUAGAUUUUUUUGUUUAAUUUAAUCCAUCAAAUAGCCAACACUUGAGAUCAAUAUAAUUUCAUAUAACCCAUAUCACUCAACAAUUUGAAAUGAAAUAUUUUUCAUUUACUUUCUGAUGGAUCAUGAAUUUGACCAAUUUAAUGAGAUUUUGACCCUUACUAUUGACCUAUUAGAAUGUUACAAAAGUGACCAUUCACUUUUACUUUAAUAAUGAUGGCCCUAAGAUCAUGAUGAAGUCAACAAAAAAAAAGUUCUAGUUUAUUAUUAUAACAAAUACACUUCACGAUCAAUCAAUGUAGAUUUUCACAUUGAAAGUUUAUUACAUUUUCAUAAUAAUCUACUCAGCCUGAGAACAGGGAAAGUUCAAUAUAUAAUGGCAAGAGUUUGUUUUUCAUGGGACAUGUAAAAAGAAAGUAAAGUUUCCAAUAGUUUGAUCAGAAAAAAAAAGUAAAGAAAAAGAUUUGAAUUUCAAUUCUUUGAGAGAUUGAAUUUUCAUCUAACAUUAUAAGAGUUAAGUAAAUACAUGAAUAUAUGAAACUACCCUAAGGGUGAAAUGUCAUCAAUUUCAUCAACUAUACUCUUGAGAUGUGAACCAAAUGAUUUGACUCAAUCUCCUAAACCUGAACAUGGAAGAAACAAAAAAAAACAGAAAACGUAACAUAUAAAAUCCUGAUAACAUGAAAUUACAUUGGAAUCAGAUGAAUUCAAGAUUGAUGCAUUUUCUUUGGUUACAUAAUAAUGAUGAUAAAAAAACCUCUUGUUCAAUAUUAUAUAUUCAAGGAAAAUCGGCCAGGGAGUUAUAUCACUUUCUCUAUCAGAUGGAGUGAGAAUGGAGGAAAAAGUUCCAAUGGUUCAACUUUCAAAUCUCAUUCAAAGCCAUGGAAUCAUUUUUUUUUGUCUUUCUUUUCCAAAUGAAAUGAAAUUUAACUACACUCAGAAUCAUGAACAAUUUUCUAUCAUCAUCAUCAUCAUCAUGCUCUCAACAUGGAAGGAAGAAGAAGAUACAAUUAUUUUGGUGGAAAUUGAAUCACUUUGGAGAAGACAAAAUAAAAGAGAACAACUUUUUAUGUGUAUUAUCAUUUUUGGAAGAAAAGAAAAACGUUUUUCGAAAAUGGAAAAGGAGGAGAGAGAAAAAAGUUCUAAUCGAACUAGAAAAAACUUUGUUUUUCCAUUUAAAUGUUUACGAGUUUUACCUUUCAAAGGUCGUACUGAAGAGGGAACACCAAGUUGUACACAAUCAGAAUCAUCGGGAGUUCCAAGAAUCGGUAAAUUUGUACAUUUGGGCAACAAAUUGCUGUUGAUUAUCGGUAUACUUCGAGCCAUCGAAUACUCUUUUCGACAUAUUGAACUUUCCAAUAUUUCGCAUUCAUCUCGACAAACCUGAGAAAAGACGAGAUACAAAUCGUAUAUCAAUCAUACGAAUUAAAAUUAAUGAUGAUAACAAGGGCAAAGAGAAAACAUAAACUACAAUAUAAUCAAAUCAAUAUCUUUGAUGAUGAUGAUUAAUGAUUUAUCGAUACAAUCAAAGUCACGAUUAGACUUGAAAAUGAAAUUGGUUUGGCCAAAAAAAAACGAGCGAGAAAAAAAUAUUGAUAACAGUAAAUAAACACAUAGAUAAAUCUGAUUCUAUUUCUAGGUGUGUUGAUCAAUCAUAUUUUUAUCAUUCUUGCUCCAGGGAAUUUACAAGAUUCAUCUAAUAUCCGGUAAAACCAGGGAAUUAUAUAUUAUUACCAUGAUAUAAUAUUUCCACUGAAUUCUGAAGAAACCAUUUUCACUCUCAACAACAACUCUGAACUUGCCGUUCAUUUCAUUCAAAGGUGUAUAUUAAUAUGAUUACUUUCAGCCAUCAUCAUGAUAAUAUAUCUUACAGGUAACUAAUAUAACUUUCUCUGUGUAAUAUAUUCACAUUAAAUCCACAGGUUUAGAAGGUAAAAUGCCCAUGAAAACCCAAAGAAAAUGUUCCGAAUGAAACAUCAGCAUCAAUUUCUCUGGUGAAAUCCUUUGGUAUUCAUUUAAUUCAUUCUAACUCAUAUUCUGUGGCCAUUGUUACUCAGGUUAUUUUGUAUUUACAAUAAGUUUCACUUUCUCUCUGUGAAUUUUUUUUUCUUGGUCUUUCUAUUCCUGUGGAUUAACUUGACUCAAUCCCAAUGAUAAACUUGAACAGUAACAAUUGGAUCUAAUUUAAUAGCUACAACAAUAAGGAAAACUUGAUAAUAUUGGUUCGAUAUUUUUGUUUUAAAAGUAACAAUAACAAUCUUUCUGAAAGUUUUGCUGAUUUAUUUUCAUUUCAAUGUCAUUAUUUUACCUUAGUAACCUUAGAUUAAGCUUGUCACUAUUGUGUCGAUGUAUUUUCAUCUGAUCAUCUUCAUGUUAUCUGAUUGUUUAAAAGCUUCCAACUAAUGGUUAACUGGAUUAACUUGAUUAUUUUACUUUCAAUGGACAUUAAACAUCAUCUCUUUCUGAGUUUCCAUUGAAAUGAUUGAGUAAAAAAGAAUGAUGAUGGACUUACCUUUCGAAUGACCAGUUGACCUGAAGGUUCUGUCCGACAGACUGGAAAAUUGAAGAAACAAACAGAUGAUAUUGCGAAUCUAUGACACUGAUGUGAAAUCUGAUGAGAUGUUGCGAUCA
Molecule: long non-coding RNA, 2686 nt
Organism: Panonychus citri (citrus red mite)
Lineage: Eukaryota; Metazoa; Arthropoda; Arachnida; Trombidiformes; Tetranychidae
Exons: 5
Source: RefSeq, a predicted model, not a curated record